This 75-nucleotide transfer RNA is filed under the name Candidatus Harrisonbacteria bacterium CG10_big_fil_rev_8_21_14_0_10_40_38. RNAcentral's name for it is "tRNA-Met". It matches the Rfam family "tRNA". From Rfam's summary of the family: Transfer RNA (tRNA) molecules are approximately 80 nucleotides in length. Their secondary structure includes four short double-helical elements and three loops (D, anti-codon, and T loops). Further hydrogen bonds mediate the characteristic L-shaped molecular structure. tRNAs have two regions of fundamental functional importance: the anti-codon, which is responsible for specific mRNA codon recognition, and the 3' end, to which the tRNAs corresponding amino acid is attached (by aminoacyl-tRNA synthetases). tRNAs cope with the degeneracy of the genetic code in two manners: having more than one tRNA (with a specific anti-codon) for a particular amino acid; and 'wobble' base-pairing, i.e. permitting non-standard base-pairing at the 3rd anti-codon position. Lineage: Bacteria; Candidatus Harrisoniibacteriota. The record is from RNAcentral.
CGCGGGUUGGUGUACUGGUGUGCAUGGGUGGCUCAUAACCACCAGGGGCAGGUUCGAUUCCUGCACCCGCAACAA